RNAcentral lists this ribosomal RNA (406 nucleotides) under uncultured bacterium. Its description in RNAcentral is "partial 16S ribosomal RNA". It matches the Rfam family "Bacterial small subunit ribosomal RNA", at positions 30 to 526 of the family's 1533-position model. The record is from RNAcentral.
AUUGAACGCUGGCGGCAGGCCUAACACAUGCAAGUCGAACGAGUGGCGGACGGGUGAGUAAUGUCUGGGAAACUGCCUGAUGGAGGGGGAUAACUACUGGAAACGGUAGCUAAUACCGCAUACCAUCGGAUGUGCCCAGAUGGGAUUAGCUAGUAGGUGGGGUAAAGGCUCACCUAGGCGACGAUCCCUAGCUGGUCUGAGAGGAUGACCAGCCACACUGGAACUGAGACACGGUCCAGACUCCUACGGGAGGCAGCAGUGGGGAAUAUUGCACAAUGGGCGCAAGCCUGAUGCAGCCAUGCCGCGUGUAUGAAGAAGGCCUUCGGGUUGUAAAGUACUUUCAGCGGGGAGGCGUUACCAGCAGAAUAAGCACCGGCUAACUCCGUGCCAGCAGCCGCGGUAAUUC